This 253-nucleotide ribosomal RNA is filed under the name uncultured Eubacteriales bacterium. RNAcentral's name for it is "uncultured Clostridiales bacterium partial 16S ribosomal RNA". It matches the Rfam family "Bacterial small subunit ribosomal RNA", at positions 524 to 776 of the family's 1533-position model. The record is from RNAcentral. Lineage: Bacteria; Bacillati; Bacillota; Clostridia; Eubacteriales.
UACGUAGGGGGCAAGCGUUAUCCGGAUUUACUGGGUGUAAAGGGAGCGUAGGUGGCAAGGCAAGUCAGAUGUGAAAACCCGGGGCCCAACCCCGGGAGUGCAUUUGAAACUGUCUGGCUAGAGUGCAGGAGAGGUAAGUGGAAUUCCUAGUGUAGCGGUGGAAUGCGUAGAUAUAUGGAAGAACACCAGUGGCGAAGGCAGCUUACCGGCGCUCAACUGACGCUGAGGCACGAAAGUGCGGGUAUCGAACAGG